GACGAACGCUGGCGGCGUGCUUAACACAUGCAAGUCGAACGGUAAGGCCCUUCGGGGUACACGAGUGGCGAACGGGUGAGUAACACGUGGGUGAUCUGCCCUGCACUUCGGGAUAAGCCUGGGAAACUGGGUCUAAUACCGGAUAGGACUCCGGACUGCAUGGUCUGGGGUGGAAAGCUUUUGCGGUGUGGGAUGGGCCCGCGGCCUAUCAGCUUGUUGGUGGGGUGAUGGCCUACCAAGGCGACGACGGGUAGCCGGCCUGCGAGGGUGACCGGCCACACUGGGACUGGGAUACGGCCCAGACUCCUACGGGAGGCAGCAGUGGGGAAUAUUGCACAAUGGGCGCAAGCCUGAUGCAGCGACGCCGCGUGAGGGAUGACGGCCUUCGGGUUGUAAACCUCUUUCAGCACCGACGAAGCGCAAGUGACGGUAGGUGCAGAAGAAGAACCGGCCAACUACGUGCCAGCCGCCGCUGUAA
RNAcentral lists this ribosomal RNA (478 nucleotides) under uncultured bacterium. RNAcentral's name for it is "partial 16S ribosomal RNA". It matches the Rfam family "Bacterial small subunit ribosomal RNA", at positions 28 to 523 of the family's 1533-position model. The record is from RNAcentral.